UACGAAGGGAGCUAGCGUUGUUCGGAAUCACUGGGCGUAAAGCGCACGUAGGCGGAUGUGUCAGUCAGGGGUGAAAUCCCGGAGCUCAACUUCGGAACUGCCCUUGAUACAGCACGUCUUGAGUCCGGAAGAGGUGGGUGGAGUUCCUAGUGUAGAGGUGAAAUUCGUAGAUAUUAGGAAGAACACCGGUGGCGAAGGCGGCCCACUGGUCCGGUACUGACGCUGAGGUGCGAAAGCGUGGGGAGCAAACAGG
This 253-nucleotide ribosomal RNA is filed under the name uncultured bacterium. RNAcentral's name for it is "partial 16S ribosomal RNA". It matches the Rfam family "Bacterial small subunit ribosomal RNA", at positions 524 to 776 of the family's 1533-position model. The record is from RNAcentral.